Molecule: microRNA precursor, 92 nt
Filed under: Oryza sativa (Asian cultivated rice)
Lineage: Eukaryota; Viridiplantae; Streptophyta; Magnoliopsida; Poales; Poaceae
Description: miR1861i stem-loop (osa-MIR1861i)
Rfam family: MIR1861 microRNA precursor family
Source: miRBase by way of RNAcentral
GGCCCGAUCUUGAGGCAGGAACUGAGUAGUUGGUGAACUCGCUCUAUGUUGUUCGUUCACUUGCUACACGGUUCCUGUCCCAAGAUCGAGUC